Molecule: ribosomal RNA, 253 nt
Filed under: uncultured bacterium
Lineage: Bacteria
Description: partial 16S ribosomal RNA
Rfam family: Bacterial small subunit ribosomal RNA
Source: RNAcentral
UACGAAGGGGGCGAGCGUUGUUCGGAAUUACUGGGCGUAAAGGGCGCGCAGGCGGUCUGUCAAGUCAGGCGUGAAAGCCCCGGGCUCAACCUGGGAGGUGCGCUUGGGACUGAGGGACUAGAGAUCGGGAGAGGAGCGUGGAAUUCCCAGUGUAGAGGUGAAAUUCGUAGAUAUUGGGAAGAACACCGGUGGCGAAGGCGGCGCUCUGGACCGAGACUGACGCUGAGGCGCGAAAGCGUGGGGAGCAAACAGG